AUGCAUGUCGGUAUGAUCAUGGAGUCGAAUGAUGCGACUUUCUUUGAAGAUAUCUUUCCCAUGAAGGAUAUGGCUACCUCAUCUAAUCAGGAGAUGCCUAGUUCAUCGAAUCAGGAACCAGUUAUAAUUACCAAACCUGCCAUUUCGAUAGAACACUUUGAAAGUCAAGUGGAGGAGAACAAUGAAGUUCCUACUAGGAGCAAGAGACAAAGGAUUGCAAAGUCCUUUGGUGAUGAUUUUCUUGUGUAUCUCAUAGAUGACACUCCCAGUUCUAUUUCAGAGGCCUAUGCAUCUGAAGAUGCUGACUACUGGAAGGAAGCGGUUCGUCGCGAGAUGGAUUCCAUCUUGGCGAAUGAAACCUGGGAGAUAACUGAUCGUCCUUAUGGGUGCAAACCUAUAGGAUGCAAAUGGGUAUUCAAGAAAAAGCUUAGGCCUGAUUGUACUAUUGAGAAGUACAAGGCUCGGCUCGUGGCUAAGGGUUAUACCCAAAAGGAAGGUGAAGACUUCUUUGAUACUUACUCACCUGUGGCUCGACUGACCACUAUUCGAGUUCUACUUUCACUAGCUGCCUCGCAUGGUCUUCUCGUUCAUCAAAUGGAUGUUAAGACUGCUUUCCUAAAUGGAGAGUUGGACGAGGAAAUUUAUAUGGAACAACCAGAUGGGUUUGGACUAGAUGGUCAGGAAGGGAAAGUGUGCAAGUUGCUGAAGUCUUUGUACGGACUUAAGCAAGCACCCAAACAGUGGCAUGAGAAGUUUCAAAGAACUUUAACAGCUGCAGGCUUUGUUGUGAACGAAGCUGACAAAUGUGUGUACUAUCGCCAUGGUGGGGGCGAGGGAGUUAUCCUGUGCUUGUAUGUUGAUGACAUACUGAUUUUCGGAACCAAUCUGAAUGUUAUUAAGGAGGUCAAGGAUUUCCUAUCUCGUUGUUUUGAGAUGAAGGAUUUAGGAGUGGCUGAUGUCAUUCUGAACAUCAAGUUGUUGAGAGACGAUGAUGGUGGGAUUACAUUGCUUCAAUCUCACUAUGUGGAAAAGAUCUUGAGUCGCUUUGGCUAUAGUGACUGCAAGCCAUCUCCAACACCAUAUGAUGCUAGUGUGUUGCUUCGAAAGAAUCGAAGAAUUGCUAGAGACCAGUUGAAGUAUUCUCAGAUUAUUGGCUCGCUUAUGUACUUAGCCAGUGCUACAAGACCUGACAUCUCUUUUUCUAUUAGCAAACUGAGUCGGUUUGUUUCAAAACCAGGAGAUGUGCAUUGGAAAUCUCUAGAAAGAGUUUUGUGUUAUUUGAAAGGCACUGCAAAUUAUGGAAUUCACUACACCGGGCCUCCAAAGGUGCUUGAAGGGUAUAGUGACUCAAACUUGGAUCUCAGAUGCUGA
This 1371-nucleotide ribosomal RNA is filed under the name Triticum aestivum (bread wheat). RNAcentral's name for it is "partial small subunit ribosomal RNA". The record is from RNAcentral. Lineage: Eukaryota; Viridiplantae; Streptophyta; Magnoliopsida; Poales; Poaceae.